Molecule: long non-coding RNA, 3203 nt
Organism: Ictalurus punctatus (channel catfish)
Lineage: Eukaryota; Metazoa; Chordata; Actinopteri; Siluriformes; Ictaluridae
Source: Ensembl
AUAUAUAUAUCUGUGUGUGUGUGUGUGUGUGUGUGUGUGUGUGUGUGUGUGUGUGUAUACAUGUAUGUAUAUUAUGGUGGUUCAUCACUGAUAGCACUAAGAGAACAUGGCAGUUUGCAGUUUGACUUGUAAAAAAAUUGUUCAAUUCAGUUAAAUUAUUUAUUAUUAUCAAACACAAAUAAAAACAAGUCUAGUUAAAAAGCAUGAAACAACUACUAGAUAUUUUCCUUGCUUUUUCCUAUUGGCACCAUCAUGUUAAAUGAAAUCAGAGAACUCCAGCUUGGAGAAAGUCUGAUUUCAGAGUGGGAAUUGAGCUGGAGGGCCAUUCAGAAAUCGUCUGAAAUUUUCCGGUUCCCAAAAGAUUGUGAAUGCAGCAUUAGCUCUGUACAGUACACAGAUAAUGGCUGAUAAUGGCUGACUUGUAAUGUUCAAGAUAUUAUUAAAAAUUUAGGUUACUUCAAAGUGCUAGGAUCUAUUGCAUGUGAAACUUCAGCUGUUCCAAAAGGACCUUACUUUAUAAAUGAAGUACGCUCACAGAAAAAAAAAAUUGCUUGGUGAAAGAUUAAUAAAUAGUAUUUACAUAUGCUUGUCAUUAGCUUUAAGUAAGAUGGCCCACCUCUCACUCUGGAACAUUCCGCAUCAUUUUAAGUUACGUUCAUUUUCCUUCAUAUUUAAUCAGGUUUUAAUAGAAAAUUCUCCUGACUGUACCUGACAUUUUCUUUGCAUUUUAUAUCUGUAGUCAUUCCCAACAGGUUCACGUGGUGGGCUUUGUCUGGAAAGGUUUCAAAGCUUUGUCAGGAAAAUUCAGAACUUCAGAGCACUCUCAUAUAUCCUUUGGUUAGAAUUUGGUGAAAAGCUAUUUACUAUGGUGGCCUGUAAAUGCAAAAUAUCAGAUACAGCAAUUCAAUAAGCACAACAACAAACCCCAAAAUGCAACAGCAGAUUCAGCAGCAUGACAAUAAAUUCAUAAACACAAGCAUUGUGGCAGUGAUAACUUGGUGGCAUUGGACUUCUGACCAGAAGGUCAUAAGUUCAAAUCCCAUCACCACCAAGCUGCCACUGUUGGGCCCUUGAGCAACAAUCAACUGCUCAGUUAUAUAAAUGAGAUAUAUGUAAAUCACUUUGGAUAAGGGUGUCUGCCAAAUGCCAUAAAUGUAAAUGUAACAGCAAAAUUAAAAACAUGAGAACAAAACAAAAAAAAGCAAACAGCUUUAUGGAGCAUUCAAGUCAUGUCGGAAAGAUCGUAUUUACGAGUUGAACGCUACCACAAAGUCAGAAUUAUGAGUAGGAAACUCUUUCUCAGGAAGCUCUGUUUCUGAGUUGGGGACAUGUCAGUAAGAAAACAUGGUGGAAUCAAUGGAUGCAACCUCUGUAGUUGAUGGUAAAUUAGUUGAAAUUGAAGGUUUACUAGUCUCAGAAACUGAUUUCAGUUAUUAUGUGUUUGGUAUAUGUAGCAAACCUGCACAAGUGCCUGCACAAAAUAUGAAAGCAUUGUACAAUUACGAUAUAAUAUGUAAUGAUAAAGUUUCAUAAAUUGCUUAAAAGCAUAAAAAAGCAAAAACAUACCUGAUGCAAAUUCAAUGCUUUUCAUUUCCUUAAAGUACAGUUUUUAAAAAACCCCUCUUUUUUAAUAGUUAAUUAAGAGGAGAUACAUCACCAUCUUGCGCUGACCAAAAUGACUUGAACGCACUUGACGUCGUAAUUACACGUCGUAAUUACGACUUCCCAACUCGUAAAAAUGAACUUCCCAGGAAACAUGAUAGAAAAUUUGGAAACACAAAAACACACUCAAAGCAGAACAGCAUGUCCUUAUUGAACAUCACAUGCUUGUUACUGAUUGGCUACAGUCUGUGUCAAAGAGUGUGUGUCAGCGCUGUGGGUAAAGGGACGCAUCAAAGGGAUGUGAUUAAGUUCAAAGAAAUGAGAUCAUACAGGAAAAGCUCAGACUCACAGAUGAGAGAGUACAUUAAGAAGUCACAUGGUAAUAUUAGCUAUGUUUUUUCUUUGAAUAUUCAUUGCUCUGUCAAAAAAAAAAAAAACAUUUUAAAAAAUGGGAAAAACAAAAUCGGAGUUUCUCCUCUCAGCAGUUAAUUUUGUCUUGUUUGUAUUUGGGUCUCUAUGCCAGCACUGCAUAGUAUUUCCCCAGCAGCCAUUCUGUUUCAUAAUUAAACAGUGAAAAACUAAACUACAUACACCAAGCUACCUGGGGGACUGUUACAGAAGAGCUGAAGGAGUUUUAUAUUGUGCUGGUUGGUCUGACAUAUCUUAAUCUCAUUUGAUUUCAUUAACAGCCAGUAUACGGUGCUAUAUGAAUAUGCAUUACUGGGUUAGCAAAAAUCAGUUCAGCUCAACAAAGCUGGUGUCAGCUUUAUAACAUUCAGCUAAAUUUUUUGCCACUUGUUGCAUGUAAUACAUGAAACAUUUCUUAACCAAUAAAUAAGUCUUUCAGAUUUCAGAAGUCCACAUGCUCUUCAUACAUGAUACUCAGCUACAGUAUGCUAGAUUAGUGCUUAUUAGUGACUUUGAAUAUUUUGGAAAUUAACAUUGAUUCUCUCUUAAAUUAUGUAAAAUGUGUUCUGUGUGUUCUUACUGUAUGACAUGUAAAUGAUGUAUGCUGUAUUUUUUUUUGACUUUGUAUUAUACACAGACCUUACACACAGACACAGGCUGUAAAUAACGUGUUUAUAUUUCACUCUGGAAAGCUUUUUUUUUUUUCAUUUUCACCCUGUUAAUAACCCUUUCCGCUGUUAUAUAAAAUAUAUAAAAUAACUCUUUUUUUUGAGGUCCUAUUUUGUUUCAAUGUAUAUGUCGCCUUCACUGUAUAGUUUUGCUUGAUAAUUAAAUCUUUUGCAAACAGGAGUGUUGUUUUUUUCCCCCCUCACACUCUCUGCUUUUUGUAUUUCACUUGGGUUAAAAUUAGUGCAUGGUUCAUAUGAGCACAUAAAAAUUGAUGUGAGUGAGAAAUAUUAUCCUAAGGUGUUAACUAUGCACAACGUCUCUCAUUUGCAGGUCUCCCAGAGCUCUUUGCUGUCUGCUUGGUGUAUGACAGUCAAUCGUAUAGCCUCAUUGUUUCUCAUCCAUUACACACACACACACACACACACACACACACACACACACACACACACACACACACACACACACACACACACACACACACACACACACACACACACACACACAGAUGCCCAUUUCCACUAUCA